Molecule: ribosomal RNA, 216 nt
Filed under: Glomeromycotina sp.
Lineage: Eukaryota; Fungi; Glomeromycota
Description: partial small subunit ribosomal RNA
Rfam family: Eukaryotic small subunit ribosomal RNA (bases 40-216)
Source: RNAcentral
GGGUCAGUAGGUUGGUCGUGCCACCGGUACGUACUGGUCUCACUGAUUCCUCCUUCCUGAAGAACCGUAAUGCCAUUAAUUUGGUGUUGCGGGGAAACAGGACUGUCACUUUGAAAAAAUUAGAGUGUUUAAAGCAAGCUAACGCUUGAAUACAUUAGCAUGGGAUAAUGAAAUAGGACGAUCGAUCCUAUUUUGUUGGUUUCUAGGAUUGACGUA